Lactuca sativa (garden lettuce) is the source of this 3761-nucleotide long non-coding RNA. RefSeq lists it as uncharacterized. The record is from RefSeq and is a predicted model, not a curated record. NCBI's taxonomy places the organism in Eukaryota, Viridiplantae, Streptophyta, Magnoliopsida, Asterales, Asteraceae.
CCUUCCCCUUCGAAAGUGGAGUGAUUUCCAGCCUUAUUUGCCCAUUUAUACAUACACGUAUGAAUUCGUAGGUUCUUACUAUACCCGUCGUCGAAGCAGCAAGAGGCGUGAAAAGAGAGAAAGUAGAGAGAGUUUCGGUGGUGCACUGGUGCUGUGUUAGAGGAGGCUCCGCUGCUUCCACGGUGGCCGGUCGUUCCUUCUGAGAGUAUGAUGGCUUUAACUUCGCAAACUCUUGAGAAUCCACAGAUCUGAGUUAUGGGUGUAGUAUCCCAUGGCAUCCCGGUGAGUCAUUGUGAAUUUCGGUUAGAUCAAUGAAGCUCCGGUGAGACCAGGUUUAGAUCUUGCAGAGUAUUAUGUUUUAUGGAUGGAAGUUACAUUCUCCGAUGAGGUUCCAGCAACAGUUUCUCCGUUGAAAAGCUUUGUUGGUGAAGACUUGGUCUCCGACGAUGGCAAGUGGCAACUCCAACAAGACGGGUUCAGAGCAAGUCGGCUAAGUUCUUCAUUCGAGCUGAUUCAACCCAGUGGUUUGGAAUUAUUAGGAGUGAUACUAUAUUUUCAAGGAGAUAGAUUGUGUGCGAAAAUGUUCCGGUGGUGAUCCUGUUUAAUUUUGUCCGGCGAGAAACAACCAGAACGGACAAGCUUCCGGCAAGGCAUUGGUGCAGGUGGGUUCUGUGUUUUCCAGCGUUAUAUGGUCUCAGACGAACUGUAUGAAGAUUCAAAGAUGAAUAAGAGGUGAGCGAGAAAAAAAAGAUGUAGAUGGGGAAGAUUUGUUUAUAACGAAAGGUCAGUUUGCUGAGAAAAAUGAUGUUACCGGUGUUGGUAAUCCACUUAUCCGUAAUGUCUCUUAAUAAAUAUUUCCUUGAUUCGUCUGUCAUUUGUUUCAUCACUCAUUUGGUUACCAAAUAACAUAGGUGUAUGGAAAUCACAUCCACCAAUCGAAGAGUUACAAUUGGGAUGUAUCAGUUAAGCUUCAUCCACAACUUGAAUGCCUUGUUUCUUUUGUCCUCUACAACAUGCUGCUACUGAUUUGUAUUAUGUCGUAACUUUCUGUAUUGAACUCUGAUACAUUAUAUCUCAUUACAGUAAUGAAGUUUUUAAGAUUCUCCUGCUCAAACCUUUUUGAAGAAUCAAUCGAUACCUGGUCCGAUACGAUAUGUACCGGCUUAAUCCUUCAACUUCAAUUGUCUCUAUGAUUGUUUGAGUAUGACCUUCUUGAAACUUGAUUUAUAAAAGGCUUCACGACUUUAUUCAUUAUAUCAGGCAAAAGGUCCAUAUAAUUAUUAGAGAAGACAGAGAAGGCUUUGAAGGAAAAGCUCAGAAGAUGUUCACAAGCUUCUUCUACAGAUAAAUUUAGCUUCUUACAUGGUAUGUCCAACUUGAUAUUGAGUAAAACGAGAUGGAGAGAACGAUCAGAGUUCAAUGUAUUUAUCUCAUCUUAUAGAAAUUUAUUUUUGGAAGAGCUAACUUGUUCUCAUCUCGGAAUUUUUCAAACGGGUUCUAAUAUUUUUGACAUAUAUGGUUUUCAGGACCUUUUUAAGGUCUGGGAUAAAAUCUAAAAGUGCAUGCAUCUUCUCCCCGAUUUUGUUUCUUUUGGAAGACCUCUAAUUUCACUGUUGAUGAGGUGUUGGUCUAUCUUGUGGGAGAGGCUCGCCAAAUAAUUUAAAAUCGUGUCAUUUUGGAGUUCUAUUAUUUUGUCAGCCAAACUAUGGACCCAACCAUGUACUUUGUCAGUUGCGGAGCAGAUAGACCGUGAGGAACUAGUCUUUAAAAUUUUCAGUGUCUUUAAUUAUAACAAGAACAAUACUUGUUAUAAUUAAAGACAUUGAAAAUUGUAGAGAUCAGUUCCACACAACCUAGUUGCGCAAAACUCUUCGUUGGGUCCAUAGUUUGGUUGACAAAAUGAUGGAGCUCCAAAAUAUCAUGAUUAUAAAUUAUUUUCCUAAUCUCUCCCACCGGAUAGACCAACACCUCAACAGUGAAAUUAGAGGCCUGACAAAAGAAGUGAAAGUGGGUGCGUGCAUGCAUUUUCAGAUUUCAUCCUAAGCUUUAAGAAGGCCUAGAAAAUCAUGCAUGUCAAGCAUAUUAGAACACGCCUGAAAAAUUCUCGGAUGAAAUAAUGGAACAAGUUAGAUCUUCCAAAAAUAAAUUUUUAAAAGAUAAGAUAAAUGCAUGGGAUUAUGAUCAUAGUGUUCGUUCUCCCUGUCUCGUUCUGCUCAAUACCAAGUAGGACGUAAGGAGCUAAAUUUAUUUAUAGACGUGACUUGUGAACGUCUUAGAGCUUUUCUUUCAAAGUCUUCUCUGGCUUCUCUAAUAAUUAUAUGGAUCUUUUGUCUAAUAUAAUGAAUAAAGUUGUAAAACUUUUUGUGAAUAAAGUAGAAGAAGGUCUCACUCAAAGAGUUAGACACAAUUGAAGUUGAAGGAUUAACUUGGUACACAUCGGAUUAGGCAUCGAUUGAUUCUUCAAAAAAAUUUGACCACGAGAAUCUUGAAAACUUCUUUAUUGCAAUGAGAUCUAAUGUGUCAGAGUUCAAUACAGAAAGUCACGGCAUGAUACAAAUCAGUCAUCUACAACAUGUUGCAAAGGACAAAAAGAAUAGGACAAUUAAGUUGUGGGUGAAGCUUAACAGAUACAUUCUAGUUGUAACUCUUCGAUUGGUGGAUGGGAUCGCUAUACACCUACGCUAUUUGGUAACCAAAGGAGUGAUGAAACAAAUGAUGGAUGACUUCAUCAAGGAGAUGAUUAUUGAGAGACUUUGGGUAAGUAGGUUACCAACACCAGUAACAUCAUUUUUCUCCACGUGUCGAUAAAGAAAGUGGAUAGAAUGAUUGAUAUCAUAUGGUAAUGCAAAAUUGUAUAGAUUGGGGUUUGUGCACUUAUAUACAUUAUUUGUCUUUUGUUUUUUUAACUUCUUUAAAGUUAAAAACAAUGUACUACUGCUUCCAAAACCUAAUACUUUUGACAUUUUAUCAGGUUAGUAGCUGAUGUGUUGAAUAGUGACUUUUGGAAUUAGCAUGGAUUUUUGAAGAUGAUAUGGUGUAUUUUUCAUGGUUAUAUUACUUAGCCUCGUGUAAUGGUGGAUAUGCCUCUGUAUGUUAUUUUUUUGUCUGUCAAAAAUUUUAAACUUCGAGACUUUUUCCAUAGAUUACUUAAUUGGUUUGAAAGAUUGUUCUAAUAUAGCUUAAAAUGUGUGGUUUCUAAGCUUAUUAAAGUCAAAGAUAGCUUGAAUAUGACUGUAUUGGUGAGUAGUUGUUUAAUCUUGUGAAAAUACAUAAAAAAUAGUGAUAUUUGAAGAAGAGUGACAAUUAUUGUAUUCCUUUGAAUAAAAUUCAUAGCCAUCUAGAGUUGAAACUGUUGCCACUAAAUUGGCAAUUUUCUUGCUUGUAUAAUACUAAACUAGUUACUGUUAUAUUAUCUAUGAUAUUUCUCAGGUAAAGUCAAGGCAAUGCUGAUGUGGAGCACUUUGAUUGGUUGGUUGUGAAUGCAAUGGGUUUAAAAUUAUCUACAUGAAGACUAGAGGUUGCUUUUAGUACCCCCCCAACUCCCAAGUGUGCCAUAUUUUAACCAAGUGGUCUAGUGACCUGGUAUUUAGGAAGCCUCAUUCACAAAUACUGUUAAUUUGUAUCAAGUUUAUUAAGUACAAAAAACAUGUAAGUUGGGAGUUUUCAAUCCCUCUAGGAUAGGGGUUUAGGGUUUAUGGUAUGUUGUUAUAUCAUAUAUGUAAUUUGAUUAGAUGUUACCAGAUUUAGGGUCUGUUUGUUAA